UCGAGAAUCUUCCACAAUGGACGAAAGUCUGAUGGAGCGACGCCGCGUGAUUGAUGAAGUCCCUCUGGGACGUAAAGAUCUUUUAUGAGGGAAGAAGUUUAUUGACUGUACCUCAUGAAUAAGAGGCUCCUAAUCUCGUGCCAGCAGGAGCGGUAAUACGAGAGCCUCGAGCGUUAUCCGGAAUUAUUGGGCGUAAAGGGUGCGUAGGUUGCGAUGUUAGUCUUUUGUUAAAACUCCCGGCUUAACCGGGAAGACGCGAAAGAUACGGCAUUGCUUGAAAGUGCAAGGGGUGUACGGAACUCAUGGUGUAGGGGUGAAAUCCGUUGAUAUCAUGGGGAACACCAAAAGCGAAAGCAGUACACUGGUGCAUAUUUGACACUGAAGCACGAAAGCGUGGGUAGCGAAUGGGAUUAGAUACCCGCGUAGUCC
This 429-nucleotide ribosomal RNA is filed under the name uncultured bacterium. Its description in RNAcentral is "bacterial SSU rRNA". It matches the Rfam family "Bacterial small subunit ribosomal RNA", at positions 355 to 796 of the family's 1533-position model. The record is from RNAcentral.